Molecule: long non-coding RNA, 201 nt
Filed under: Manihot esculenta (cassava)
Lineage: Eukaryota; Viridiplantae; Streptophyta; Magnoliopsida; Malpighiales; Euphorbiaceae
Description: long non-coding RNA (MESC_LNC005517)
Source: RNAcentral
AUACAUUUUCUGUGAAAAUAAAGACUCUUUUCUGAACCAAGGCUUAACCUGUGCAUGCACUAUCUCUGUACUCAGUACUCUGUACCCCUGACUAGAGCUUGCUCUAGAUAGGUUGUUUCAUACCUGUUAAGCCUGGUUUUUCACAUACUCUGUAAAACAUAUACAUAUACAGAUCAUGUACAUAAACCAAAGAUUUANNNN